Molecule: long non-coding RNA, 734 nt
Organism: Bubalus bubalis (water buffalo)
Lineage: Eukaryota; Metazoa; Chordata; Mammalia; Artiodactyla; Bovidae
Exons: 3
Source: RefSeq, a predicted model, not a curated record
GGUGAUGAACAGGGAAGCCUGGCAGGCUGCAGUCCGUGGUGCUGCAGAGUCAGACACAACUGAGCAACUGAACAACAACGGGCAAGCCAAAGUGUUGGAGAGGGAAUAUUCUAGAGGCAACCUUCAGGCACAUGAGCUGGAUAGGUGUUGCAGCUCCCUUGCCUUGUGGGUUAGGCUCACUGGCCGGCUCCUGAGGUCCCUGGCAGGAUUGAGCCCCAGCUGCCCGCUGAGAUUGCUGACUCAUCACCACUCUUUAUUGUCUUCCUUCUCUUCCAGCAGCCUCUGCUCAUCUGUGGCCAAGUUUCCUGAGAUCACCUCCCAGACCAGUCACUUGUGUUUGCUCCCUUGCUUCAGGGACUGCUUCUGGAAACCUCAAAUUGUGGCGAAAGGAAAAGCCCUGUAGAGGGAUGACUCUAAGCAGAGAAGCCCACCCAGCAUUUCCUAUUAGGCUGAAAACAACAUAUCACUCCUAUUUCGUGUGCACAGCUGAUUUCCUGUGCCAGACUCUGACACAUCAUUUUGAGUGGGGAUCAUGACCUCCAUCUGUGUACGUGUGCAAGGGAAGGAAAGCCACGUGGAGACUUGCACAUGUGCCAGGGUCUUCUCCAUAGUCAUUGUGAUUUGGUCUGCUGCUGCUGCUGUGUCGCUUCAGUCGUGUUCGACUCUGUGUGACCCCAUAGACGGCAGCCCGCCAGGCUCCCCCAUCCCUGGGAUUCUCCAGGCAAGAACACUGG